CCCAGACUCCUACGGGAGGCAGCAGUGGGGAAUAUUGGGCAGUGGGCGCAAGCCUGACCCAGCAACGCCGCGUGAAGGAAGAAGGCUUUCGGGUUGUAAACUUCUUUUCUCAGGGACGAAGAAAGUGACGGUACCUGAGGAAUAAGCCACGGCUAACUACGUGCCAGCAGCCGCGGUAAUACGUAGGUGGCAAGCGUUAUCCGGAUUUAUUGGGUGUAAAGGGCGUGUAGCCGGGCUGACAAGUCAGAUGUGAAAUCCGGGGGCUCAACCCCCGAACUGCAUUUGAAACUGUUGGUCUUGAGUAUCGGAGAGGCAGGCGGAAUUCCUAGUGUAGCGGUGAAAUGCGUAGAUAUUAGGAGGAACACCAGUGGCGAAGGCGGCUUACUGGACUGUAACUGACGUUGAGGCUCGAAAGCGUGGGGAGCAAACAGGAUUAGAUACCCGAGUA
RNAcentral lists this ribosomal RNA (448 nucleotides) under uncultured bacterium. RNAcentral's name for it is "bacterial SSU rRNA". It matches the Rfam family "Bacterial small subunit ribosomal RNA", at positions 330 to 792 of the family's 1533-position model. The record is from RNAcentral.